GCCGGCAUUUUACCGUCUCCCGUCCUCACAGGAAGAAGAAGGGGUGGUUUUUUCCUGUGGAAAUUCAGUGAGCUUGAGGCAGAUUGACCAACUAAGGAGCUGGGCAAGCAAGCAGGAGCUGAGAGGAAUUCUCUUCUGCUUGGUACAUUGUGGUGGGAAGAUUCCCUGCAGAAACCAAGCAGUACCCUUGGCCGCAUGAAGAUUCAGUGCCUUGUUUAUAUCAGUUUCCAUUUUGACAUUUGUUCUUAAAUGGAUCAAGGUCGUUUUUAUCUGCUUAAUGAUCUGCUUGC
Mustela erminea (ermine) is the source of this 290-nucleotide long non-coding RNA. RefSeq lists it as uncharacterized. The record is from RefSeq and is a predicted model, not a curated record. Lineage: Eukaryota; Metazoa; Chordata; Mammalia; Carnivora; Mustelidae. The transcript has 3 exons.